UGUUGGAGUUCAGUGGCAAGAUCACAGCUCAUUGCAGACUCCUGGGCUUGAGUGAUCCUCCGACUUUGGCUUCCCAGAACACUGUGAUUACAGGACAUGUGCCUUGGGAGUCCUGAACCAACAAGAAUUUAGCUACCCUGGAUCACCAUGCUGGUGAGACCACAUGGAACAAACAUACAGAGAUGCCCAAUGAGCUCUAGUUCUGCCAGUACCUAGUUGCUCAAGUCUUCCAGAAAAUUCACAACUACUUGGAUGGUGGAGAGAGAACAACAACAACAAAAAAAGAAAGUCUACAACUAUAUUUUUCCUAAAAAGAAGAAAAGAAUUAGUCUUGUGAGAAUUUUACCGUGCUUAGAUGACAAAACGGAGUGGGAAGCUCUUUUAAACAAUCUAUGCAAAGAGUAGACUCUGCCUAGGUUAUCUUUGGUCCUAAAAAAUAUUUGUUGAAAUCUUCUGUAAUACUAAAAAAUAGUUAUCCUCAAAAUUAAUAUCUCAUGGCCAUAUCUUAUAAGGUCAAAUAGAUCUGGUUUCAAAUUCUGGCUCUGCCAUACAGUAGCUAUAACACAGUGGGAAAAUUACUAAACAGUCUCAGAGGCUGCAUUUUUUUGGCUGAGGACUGUAAGAAUGAGUUACAGGUUAAAA
Long non-coding RNA from Piliocolobus tephrosceles (Ugandan red Colobus), 642 nucleotides. RefSeq lists it as uncharacterized. NCBI's taxonomy places the organism in Eukaryota, Metazoa, Chordata, Mammalia, Primates, Cercopithecidae. The transcript is spliced from 3 exons. The record is from RefSeq and is a predicted model, not a curated record.